AGCUGGCCUGAAGUUAGUGAGUUAACUCGAUUGUUCACAGUGAGUUGUAGGUCAAACUCCUUCUUCUACUGUUUUCCCCUUCUCAUUAAUACACUUGACUAGUUUUUU
Molecule: Y RNA, 108 nt
Filed under: Cebus imitator (Panamanian white-faced capuchin)
Lineage: Eukaryota; Metazoa; Chordata; Mammalia; Primates; Cebidae
Description: Y RNA (ENSCCAG00000009288.1)
Rfam family: Y RNA
About the family: Y RNAs are components of the Ro ribonucleoprotein particle (Ro RNP), in association with Ro60 and La proteins. The Y RNAs and Ro60 and La proteins are well conserved, but the function of the Ro RNP is not known.
Source: Rfam by way of RNAcentral